RNAcentral lists this ribosomal RNA (369 nucleotides) under uncultured organism. RNAcentral describes it as "partial 16S ribosomal RNA". It matches the Rfam family "Bacterial small subunit ribosomal RNA", at positions 527 to 896 of the family's 1533-position model. The record is from RNAcentral.
GUAGGGUGCAAGCGUUAAUCGGAAUUACUGGGCGUAAAGCGUGCGCAGGCGGUUUGUAAGACAGUGGUGAAAUCCCCGGGGCUCAACCUGGGAACUGCCAUUGUGACUGCAAGGCUGGAGUGCGGCAGAGGGGGAUGGAAUUCCGCGUGUAGCAGUGAAAUGCGUAGAUAUGCGGAGGAACACCGAUGGCGAAGGCAAUCCCCUGGGCCUGCACUGACGCUCAUGCACGAAAGCGUGGGGAGCAAACAGGAUUAGAUACCCUGGUAGUCCACGCCCUAAACGAUGUCAACUGGUUGUUGGGAAUUUAUUUUCUCAGUAACGAAGCUAACGCGUGAAGUUGACCGCCUGGGGAGUACGGCCGCAAGGUUA